GGCAAGGCAGAAUGUUUCAACUACAUAUUUGCUUCCAAAUCUCAUGCACCCAACCCAUCCUGCUCUGUCCACAUCUUACAACUUUGUAUCCACUGUUUACUGGACUUUGUAUCUUUGUCACCGGAGAACAUUCUGUCCAGCAUCAACCCUGGUUCGGCAACGGGUGAGGUUACAUCAGUAUCCAUGUUCUCAAAUCCUACUCUGUUGCUCUUGCUUCUUUGUCUGCACUCUUGGGUCUAUUUAUAUCCUUUCAGUGCCUCCAGUCCAUGUGGAAGUCUGCAAACAUCACUCUGGUCAACAUCAAGGGUGCAAAAACAGUUCCCAUCAACUACAGGAAUCGUCGUGAUUUGUCUGCUGGUGAUGAGCUUCAGUGUUGUUGCGAAGGCCUUGUCGGGUUCAAAAAUCGCAAGUACAGCCGACAAGUAUAUUGGUGACACCAAGUGGUCCUACUCUUCAUCUCAUGGGCCUGGAGUAAAUACAAACAAGUGCAACAUCUUUGUUGCCGAUAUCAUGAAAGAGGCAGGAGGAUCUGUGCCUCAGAGACACUGGUGGGGGAAUAGCCCGAUUGGAGCUCGAGAAUGGGGAAACUCUGCCUCUUCUUACCUCAGUGAUGAUAACUGUUGGCGGCACGUGACAUCAUCACGAAUCGGUGAUGUCAUUGGAGAUGGUGUCCAUGUUGGCAUAGUGACUGGAGCACGACUGACAACUAGUGCUGCAGAGGACUCUGUGGUCAAGAAUGACUUUGGUUUCCGAUCGAGUCAAAAACGAAUGGUGCUUUGGCGUUACACCUGCUGAAUCAAAUGCAAAAUAACGAGCAAGGCCUUCUUCACUGUAUGGAGAUGUGCUUUUGCUAUUUCACUUGAUUUUAUUAAUCUGCUACAAUUGAUUGAAAUAAUUUAGUUAUUUCUUUCUUUCCAUGGCUGUUGGGAAUAAAUGGCUAAUUGCAAGAAAUGGCAUCUCUUAAAAAACACUCGAUGACGACUCACAUGUAGAUACACGUUCACAGACACAUGCAGAAGCAUGCACACACAGGAAUCAAACAAGGAAGAAGCAACAAGAAGACAAAAUGUAUCAAAUGCAUAAAGAGUAAUCAGCAAAUUGGAAAUGUCGUAAGUGUUGGUUAUGAUAAAAAAAAAAAAAAAACAGACAAGAAAACAUUUUUGAAAAAUCAAAUUUUAACAGUCCUUGUCAAGUUUGAGUAUCCAACUUGUAGCCAAAGUAAAUUAAUCUUCUCCACAGAUAUUUUAGAUGAAACUUCUACAAGCUCAAUCCUACCACCAAAUGAAUGAUUUACAAAAGACUGAUUCUGAUUAUGUGGUAUCUCACUCUGUUAUGGAUCAUCAAUGCUGCCGAAAAAGUUUAUUGGCAAAGGUUAUAUUGGGUGGUUUGCCAAUUGUCUUCCCAGGAGUAAUUAGGGCAGGGAUUUGUUAUUUGAUCAGGGUGCCUGCGAAAGCUCACUUACACUUCACGUGGGAUCCUUAACAUCCUCCAACUGAAGUCGGCAGAGGGUACAUCCGUUUAACAUUCUUCUGAUAGAUGGCUCACACAUUCAUAAAUCACGCUGCCUGUGAAACACCGAGAUGACAGUUUAUAGCUGGGUAGGGAUUCAAACCCAGGCUACACAGCCUCGAGGCAAGUGUUCACAGAAGACACCACCUUUCUAAUAUCCCACAAUUUGCAUACAACCUCAAAACACAAGGUCCACCAUCAGUACCCUUGUGUUGAAACUCCCAAAAUUCAGAACCGCUGCUCACCUCCACUCAUUUGUUCCCCCUUUUUACACCCAUGAAACCAAGUUCCACAUUCUCUCCAAUCUCAUUCUUUCCUCCUGGUCUUCAAGACAGCUGUUCACCAUGAUCUCAAAUCGUCCCCCAUCCAACAGCAUGAUAUUUUCUACCUCUUAACCCCUCUUCCCUCCUACACCUUCCGAGUUUCCAGUUUUCCUUUCUGAGUCUUUGCUUCUGUAUCCAUCUUGGCCAUCAUAGUGUCCUGAACUUGUGGACCACACGAUUCAUGAAACUACGUGUCCUUCCCUACCCCUCAUUCCUCCCCACACCCAGUGUUUGUCCGAGUCUUCCUUUAUUUUAUCCUUCAUCCCUGCUGUUGGUGUUUCCCCCUCUUUCUGCUGUUCAUUUUCUUCUGUUGCAUCCUGAUCCCUUCAGUGUUCUCGCUCUUCCACGCGCCUCGACUCUGCAUACAAAAAUAUAUACACAACUGCCACAUGCCGUCCAACAACAUCCACACGACUACCUGGAAGAAACUGAUGGACCCCCCCCCCCC
Molecule: long non-coding RNA, 2280 nt
Organism: Eptatretus burgeri (inshore hagfish)
Lineage: Eukaryota; Metazoa; Chordata; Myxini; Myxiniformes; Myxinidae
Source: Ensembl